GAUGAACGCUGGCGGCGUGCUUAACACAUGCAAGUCGAACGGAAAGGCCCAAGCUUGCUUGGGUACUCGAGUGGCGAACGGGUGAGUAACAAGUGGGUGAUCUGCCCUGCACUUCGGGAUAAGCCUGGGAAACUGGGUCUAAUACCGGAUAGGACCACUUCUUGGAUGUUGUGGUGGAAAGUUUUUUCGGUGUGGGAUGAGCUCGCGGCCUAUCAGCUUGUUGGUGGGGUAAUGGCCUACCAAGGCGUCGACGGGUAGCCGGCCUGAGAGGGUGUACGGCCACAUUGGGACUGAGAUACGGCCCAGACUCCUACGGGAGGCAGCAGUGGGGAAUAUUGCACAAUGGGCGCAAGCCUGAUGCAGCGACGCCGCGUGGGGGAUGACGGCCUUCGGGUUGUAAACUCCUUUCGCUAGGGACGAAGCGUUUUGUGACGGUACCUGGAGAAGAAGCACCGGCUAACUACGUG
Molecule: ribosomal RNA, 467 nt
Filed under: uncultured bacterium
Lineage: Bacteria
Description: partial 16S ribosomal RNA
Rfam family: Bacterial small subunit ribosomal RNA
Source: RNAcentral